UAAAACGGUGAGUAAUACCGCAUACGCCCUUCGGGGGAAAGAUUUAUCGGAUUUGGAUCGGCCCGCGUUAGAUUAGAUAGUUGGUGGGGUAAUGGCCUACCAAGUCUACGAUCUAUAGCUGGUUUUAGAGGAUGAUCAGCCACACUGGGACUGAGACACGGCCCAGACUCCUACGGGAGGCAGCAGUGGGGAAUCUUAGACAAUGGGCGCAAGCCUGAUCUAGCCAUGCCGCGUGAGUGAUGAAGGCCUUAGGGUCGUAAAGCUCUUUCGCCAGGGAUGAUAAUGACAGUACCUGGUAAAGAAACCCCGGCUAACUCCGUGCCAGCAGCCGCGGUAAUACGGAGGGGGUUAGCGUUGUUCGGAAUUACUGGGCGUAAAGCGCGCGUAGGCGGACUAUUAAGUCAGGGGUGAAAUCCCGGGGCUCAACCCCGGAACUGCCCUUGAUACUGGUAGUCUUGAGUUCGAGAGAGGUGAGUGGAACUCCGAGUGUAGAGGUGAAAUUCGUAGAUAUUCGGAAGAACACCAGUGGCGAAGGCGGCUCACUGGCUCGAUACUGACGCUGAGGUGCGAAAGUGUGGGGAGCAAACAGGAUUAGAUACCCUGGUAGUCCACACCGUAAACGAUGAAUGCCAGUCGUCGGGUAGCAUGCUAUUCGGUGACACACCUAACGGAUUAAGCAUUCCGCCUGGGGGAGUACGGUCGCAAGAUUAAAACUCAAAGGAAUUGACGGGGGCC
This 735-nucleotide ribosomal RNA is filed under the name Pseudooceanicola sp. JC453. Its description in RNAcentral is "bacterial SSU rRNA". It matches the Rfam family "Bacterial small subunit ribosomal RNA", at positions 152 to 921 of the family's 1533-position model. Lineage: Bacteria; Pseudomonadati; Pseudomonadota; Alphaproteobacteria; Rhodobacterales; Paracoccaceae. The record is from RNAcentral.